UUCAAAGACACGGAUACCCUGGAGGAGAAUAAAAGAAAAAGGAAAAAAAAAAAAAAAAAAAGCCGUAAAUAAGGGAUGAGGAGGAUAUUUUUUGGAUAUUUGAGCGCGUUUGUGUGUUAUAGAGAGGCGUUAAAUCCUGAGCGCUUCCCUCGGCAGAGCCUACUUUCGCUGUGUUUUGAAAACGGAGUGAGCAAUGGCACUCUUACUGUAAAGGAAGAAAAAGAAGAAGGGGUUCGGGGAAGCGGCCACAGCUCCUGCGAGCAGCGCACGUCUCCGUGCAGGUACCACGGGCGACAGCAGAUAAUAGGGUUCCCAAAGGCACCGAGUGCCGUGUGAAAAGAAACCCGAGGGAAGGCGCUUACAUAAACAACCGCGCUGCGAGCGCUCGGAGCGCCGGGGAACCCAUUGCCACAGCGCCCCCUCCCAUGCGCGGCUCGAACUAAAGGUUCCAUCCCGAGGAAAGGGAAAGAAAAGUUCUUUCCCUCCGUUUCUUCCUUUUAGUUUUGCCUGCUUGCUGCUCUAACCCUGCCCGGCGUAAGGGCUCGCCCGUCUCCUCGUUGGCUCGGGGCGCGCCUCGGCCGGAGGGAGCCUCGGAAGGAGGGCUUCUUGUACUGAAGAACUGGACAAGUCCGCUCGCACAGUAUGCGUGUGUCAUUUGUUAUUUUUAAAUACAAUAGCCUAUUAUUUCACGUCGUUGUCUCCGGGAGAUGGUGGCGGCCCCCCAUUUCAUGAGAGAAAGGAGAAAGCGUUCCCAGCCCAUUGUGUGGUUAUGUCACAGGAAACUGUUUGUGCUGCGCAUUGUGUUGCAUCUCCAAAUCCCACCAAGUUCCACUUCGCUCUGCUUCAAAAGUUGCUGGGGCCGGUGUCACGGCAAUUGGGUAACCGGCAUUGUCCGGGCGAUGGGCGGGCGCGACUCUCCGGGCCGCGGGGAGCAUUCCUGAGGCAGGGAAAUCUCCGUGCCAGCGCGGUUUGCGCUGCUUUGCCCUUCCCGAGUGACACGCCGGGGAGCGAGGCCGAGGGUACACUGGCACCGAGCGCCGGGCUCCGCGCAGCCGGGCGCGCACGGAGUGCGCGGUGCAGAGAGCGGGGGGAGAGCAGCGGGGAGCGGGAUGUCUCCUUUGGCUUCCAACUUCACCGCCCGAAAACUUCACCCCCUGGCACUGGGGAGAGGUAGCUCAGAAAUGGCAAAGCUCAAAACCUGCCUCCCAGGAGGGUGGUGAGCGAUAAUUGAGAAGGGGCAAGGGCUAUGGAAAGCUCUCGGCUCUCUGCUCAGCUACGCUGGAUGGAGCAAAGUGAAUUAAAAGAAGAGAAGGAGAGAGCAGAGCUUAAAAUCUGGGAAGCGCAAGUUAGACGGCAUUUUAUUAGUAUUACAAUGGGAAAAUUAGAUUUCAGCUGGGGAGCCGGGCAGAUGAAAGCUCCAUUCCUUGUGAAAGGCGUUCGGAUCCCAACCGGCAAGAAGUUGAAUACAACCACAUACGCUGAGCGAUGUUUAAGAGUGUUAUGGACACGGUUUUCCCGUUCGUUCCACGCGGAGAGUUCUCCCGGGACUGUCUCAGUGCCCCAGCAGCUCCCCGCUCUGUGCAGAGCCAAAUUCGUGGUGUAAUAGUGGAAAUAAAACGCAGAGCGUCGCCUCGCAGUGGGUGAAUCCAUGGCUCUCUGAAGCCCGACAAAAAUGAUGCAAAUCAAACUAACGUGAAAACUCGCCUUUUGAAUUGCGAAUAUAUUGCCCCAUUCAUCCGUGAUUGAGAGAUUAACCCCGUUUCUGUGUACAAAACACUGAUUUUUGGACGGCAGAUAUUAAAGCAUCAGACAUAUAAUCUGUUGCUCUUUGUGUUUGGAGGAAGGGGUGAUGGUCUUCAUUUAAACAUUCGUCCCACCGAGAGCACAAGCAGAAAUAUUUUCACAGGGCGAAGCAGAAGGAGGCUGGAACAACACCUACAAUUGCACGGAGGUGCUCGUGAACCUGCGUGUGUGACACAUGGAUCUGCGUGGAGCUCUGCAUGGAGAUCCCUAUCUGUGUGUGCGUGUGUGGCUGUGCGGAUCUCCGCACUCUGAACUGAAUUACAGCGAUUCUCCCGGGAUCGCGGUAUUUGUUUAAGUACUCUUCCCAGGUCAUAACUGUAGCACUCACUUAAUAGCAUUAAUCCCCUGUUAUAAUGUAAACACAACGGCCAUUGUAUUCCCAAUCUGCAUUGUUCCACUAAUUAUUAAAGAGGAGGAACUAAAAGCAAUCAAUUCGCGGAGCUGAACGCUCUCUCGCACCACCCCUGCUGGAAAGAACAGAGCUGGCUUCCCAAAUCAGAAUGCGGAGGGUAUGGCGCGUUUUGCAAGGCGGGCAGGUUGACUUGCAGAGAUUCAUGUAUGACUUUAUAAUGUUAUAAUUAAUUUUGCAUUCUCAGCUCUCCAGCUGCUGCUCCGUUCAAAAGCAGAGCUCAUAUACUUAGAAACCGGCGUGCGGAACACAGGAAUUGACUAUUCAGAUGUAAUCGCAUGAUAUCGAUUAUUCCACAGAACUACCGAAAUAUGAAUGUGCUUUAUAUAAAGCCCUUGUUUUUCGAGUUUCUAUUUUUAUGUAAUAUAUGCGCAUUCAUCAUCAAGCCGGGAAGGAGGCGUCUUUUCUGUAAUCUGUUGCUGUGAGUUUAGCAGUGCUUUAUCACUCCCUUAUCAGGAAGCCGGGAGUUAAUGACAAGAAAUACCUGUUGGUGUUAACCUCCUCCCCUCACCUGCCUGGCUCGGGGCUGCCUCUUCCACAGGCCAGAGCUGAUGGAGCUGGUGGGAAUUCAUCCCUCUGCCUGCUGGCCAGAUAUCUACUGCUGCUGUGCGCAGGGGCUAACUGCUUCGCGGGCUUCGCAGAAAAAAAAGGGAAGGGAUAGAAAAUCAAAUAGAGAAGGAAAACGGGAAGCUCGGAUUCCUCCAGCAUAGGCAUCCCGAUGCCUGAGCAGAGGUUUCAGACGGCAUUUCCCCCGCUGCGUCCACGGGACUGCAGCAGCGCCUUCUCGACGUGUAUUUUUUUUUUCAUUAGCCGCGUGUUUAAUUGGUUAACAAUGGGCUGCCCUGCUCGCCAGCAGCUCCCUGGUUGUGCCACCCCCUCUUCCCAGCUCCGAGCCGCUUCCUCGGCAUACCUGCGCGCACCCCAAUAGACAUUACCUCGAUUAUUCCCUGAACUCGGCCGCAAACGCGCAGCGAUAUGUUUGCUUAAACAGGGGACCACUGCUCACUCACAGAUGCUGCAAAAAUAAAACGCUUUGUUCCAUGCACCUUUUUUGUUUUGUUCCCCCCCACACACUCCCACCUCCCAGAAGCGCAGGGGCUCCUCAUCCUACGCGCAGUGAGGCUGAAGGACCGCGGCUCCCGUCGGUCCCGCUCCCACCUGCGGGCGGUACGGGGUGCGGGAGCCCAGGGCCGGCGGCCGGGCCCGG
This is a long non-coding RNA of Gallus gallus (chicken), 3419 nucleotides long. The record is from Ensembl. Lineage: Eukaryota; Metazoa; Chordata; Aves; Galliformes; Phasianidae.